AUGGCUCAGGAUGAACGCUAGCUACAGGCUCAACACAUGCAAGUCGAGGGGCAGCAUGUGGUUGCUGCAACCAAUGAUGGCGACCGGCGCACGGGUGAGUAACGCGUAUCCAACCUUCCCCUUAGUAGGGCAUAGCCCGGCGAAAGUCGGAUUAAUACCCUAUGUUCUUCGUAGAUGACAUCUGAAAUGAAGCAAAGGUUUACCGCUAAGGGAUGGGGAUGCGUCUGAUUAGGCAGUCGGCGGGGUAACGGCCCACCGAGCCGACGAUCAGUAGGGGUUCUGAGAGGAAGGUCCCCCACAUUGGAACUGAGACACGGUCCAAACUCCUACGGGAGGCAGCAGUGAGGAAUAUUGGUCAAUGGGCGCGAGCCUGAACCAGCCAAGUAGCGUGCAGGAAGACGGCCCUAUGGGUUGUAAACUGCUUUUAUGCGGGGAUAAAGUCGCCCACGUGUGGGUGUUUGUAGGUACCGCAUGAAUAAGGACCGGCUAAUUCCGUGCCAGCAGCGGC
Molecule: ribosomal RNA, 508 nt
Filed under: uncultured bacterium
Lineage: Bacteria
Description: bacterial SSU rRNA
Rfam family: Bacterial small subunit ribosomal RNA
Source: RNAcentral